CACGUAGGGCGCAAGCGUUGUCCGGAAUUAUUGGGCGUAAAGAGCUCGUAGGCGGUUCAGCAAGUCGGGUGUGAAAACUCUGGGCUCAACCCAGAGACGCCACCCGAUACUGCUGUGACUAGAGUCCGGUAGGGGAGUGGGGAAUUCCUGGUGUAGCGGUGAAAUGCACAGAUAUGUCAUAGAAUACCGAUUGCGAAGGCAGCUGACUAGACCUAUAUUGACGCUGAGGCACGAAAGCGUGGGGAGCGAACAGG
This 254-nucleotide ribosomal RNA is filed under the name uncultured bacterium. RNAcentral describes it as "partial 16S ribosomal RNA". It matches the Rfam family "Bacterial small subunit ribosomal RNA", at positions 524 to 776 of the family's 1533-position model. The record is from RNAcentral.